CCAUGGGUUUGGAUUUAUGGCAAGCCCAUUGCCCUGGGCCUCUCAUAGUGCCCCAUGCCAGAGCAAACUAUGGCCCCAAAUCAUUGCCUGGCCUCUGUCCAUAGGUUGUUGGCAUUGAAGCAGGUUGAACAGUA
Molecule: small nucleolar RNA, 134 nt
Organism: Oryctolagus cuniculus (rabbit)
Lineage: Eukaryota; Metazoa; Chordata; Mammalia; Lagomorpha; Leporidae
Source: Ensembl